UGGCGAACGGGUGAGUAACACGCGGGUGAUCUGCCUUGCACUUCGGGAUAAGCUUGGGAAACUGGGUCUAAUACCGGAUAGGACAGCUGUUUAGUGUCAGUUGUGGAAAGUUUUUUCGGUGCAAGAUGAGCUCGCGGCCUAUCAGCUUGUUGGUGGGGUAAUGGCCUACCAAGGCGUCGACGGGUAGCCGGCCUGAGAGGGUGGACGGCCACAUUGGGACUGAGAUACGGCCCAG
RNAcentral lists this ribosomal RNA (235 nucleotides) under uncultured Actinomycetales bacterium. RNAcentral describes it as "partial 16S ribosomal RNA". It matches the Rfam family "Bacterial small subunit ribosomal RNA", at positions 96 to 334 of the family's 1533-position model. The record is from RNAcentral. Lineage: Bacteria; Bacillati; Actinomycetota; Actinomycetes; Actinomycetales.